RNAcentral lists this ribosomal RNA (301 nucleotides) under uncultured bacterium. RNAcentral's name for it is "partial 16S ribosomal RNA". It matches the Rfam family "Bacterial small subunit ribosomal RNA", at positions 509 to 807 of the family's 1533-position model. The record is from RNAcentral.
CAGCCGCCGCGGUAAUACGAAGGGGGCUAGCGUUGCUCGGAAUGACUGGGCGUAAAGGGCGCGUAGGCGGUUUAUACAGUCAAAUGUGAAAUUCCUGGGCUCAACCUGGGGACUGCAUUUGAUACGUAUGGACUUGAGUGGAGAAGAGGGUCGUGGAAUUUCCAGUGUAGAGGUGAAAUUCGUAGAUAUUGGGAAGAACACCGGUGGCGAAGGCGGCAACCUGGUCCUUGACUGACGCUGAGGCGCGAAAGCGUGGGGAGCAAACAGGAUUAGAUACCCCGGUAGUCCCUGUCUCUUAUAC